Molecule: long non-coding RNA, 655 nt
Filed under: Physcomitrium patens
Lineage: Eukaryota; Viridiplantae; Streptophyta; Bryopsida; Funariales; Funariaceae
Description: long non-coding RNA (PPAT_LNC008379)
Source: RNAcentral
AUAUAAAUACUUUGACUUUUAAAUGUAGAAUUGACUUUGUUUUAAGUGAAGAGUUUUAAUAUUUUGAAGAGAACUACCAUCAUAUUUUAGAAUAUUAUGAAUCUAGUGGUAUAUUUAGUUUUUUCAAAAAACAUAUGAUUUGGAUGAUAUGUAAGAUUUAAUUUUUUUAAAAUGAAUUUAUAAUAUAUUUUUUUUUCAUAUUUAAAGAUUUACAAAAAAAUCUACUAAUGUGCUACAUAUCAAUAGGAUUGCUUUGAAAAAUCAAUCAUAUGAUAUUUAAAUCUUUUUAAAAUUGGAUAAAAAUUUCAUAAUCAAAAUUUAUAAUAUAUUUUCCCAUCAGUUUCUCUCAUUAUGUCACUUUGCAAAUCUUGCACUUCCAGAUGCAAGUCAAAGAAGAUCACUCCUCCUCAAGACUUACCUCAACCGUCGAACCCCUUAAUUGAAGUCCGCCUCGCUUCACUACUCUUCUUUAUUUAAAGGAGGUGGUUUGUAGUCAUUCAGUGAAUAAUCCACUUAGAAAAAGCCAACCGUUUAGGCCUCAUUUCUCAGGAUCUUGUAUCCACCUCAUAAAAGCUUCACAAGAGUUACCUCUCAUAAAGUCUCCUCGGGCUGGAAUCUUUUCAAAGUUGCUUCUCUGUCAAGAAAUCUACACCAC